RNAcentral lists this ribosomal RNA (448 nucleotides) under Parvimonas micra. RNAcentral describes it as "bacterial SSU rRNA". It matches the Rfam family "Bacterial small subunit ribosomal RNA", at positions 28 to 477 of the family's 1533-position model. The record is from RNAcentral. Lineage: Bacteria; Bacillati; Bacillota; Tissierellia; Tissierellales; Peptoniphilaceae.
GACGAACGCUGGCGGCGUGCUUAACACAUGCAAGUCGAACGUGAUUUUUGUGGAAAUUCUUUCGGGAAUGGAAAUGAAAUGAAAGUGGCGAACGGGUGAGUAACACGUGAGCAACCUACCUUACACAGGGGGAUAGCCGUUGGAAACGACGAUUAAUACCGCAUGAGACCACAGAAUCGCAUGAUAUAGGGGUCAAAGAUUUAUCGGUGUAAGAAGGGCUCGCGUCUGAUUAGCUAGUUGGAAGGGUAAAGGCCUACCAAGGCGACGAUCAGUAGCCGGUCUGAGAGGAUGAACGGCCACAUUGGAACUGAGACACGGUCCAAACUCCUACGGGAGGCAGCAGUGGGGAAUAUUGCACAAUGGGGGGAACCCUGAUGCAGCGACGCCGCGUGAGCGAAGAAGGUUUUCGAAUCGUAAAGCUCUGUCCUAUGAGAAGAUAAUGACGGUA